Molecule: long non-coding RNA, 3997 nt
Organism: Bombus huntii
Lineage: Eukaryota; Metazoa; Arthropoda; Insecta; Hymenoptera; Apidae
Exons: 3
Source: RefSeq, a predicted model, not a curated record
UAUCAUUAACUGAAGCUUUAUAUGUAAUUUAAUUGUUAUUAUCUUUUUAGACGUAUGUAAAUUAUAAUUAAAAGGGCUGUCAAACAGACUCUUGCACCAUCGAUGAAUUUUGACAAAUGCCGCUAAGCUGACAUUCUAAUUUUAUUCUUUCGCGCUCAAUGUACAACAUUGUAUUUAUAUUCAGUAGAACUAGACUCAAAUUUUGAUGCAUUAUAUUUUCUCUAUAAAAAAAUGUGUUCUAUGUAUUGUUUAUGUAAUAUAUAUAUAUUUGAAUAUAUAACUUUUAAUAAUUUAUAAAAAAUAAUUUGCCUCGCUAGCUAAGCUGAAAGUCGUCUCUGAACGAAUUAAUAAAUAAAAGUAUUGUCUAAAAAUGGCCAUGUUCGUCACUUCUACGAGAACAUGAUUUUAAGCGCGAGUAAAAUUUAUUAGCUAUUUUACAGCAAGGUUUGAAGGGAUUUGAUCGAUAACCAUGAACACCCGACGACCUUGUAGAUUCGGUGCGAUAGAUUGAUGGAUGAACCAAUAGAAACGGUACCGUAUACCUUCCAUUGACGCCAGACUCUCGUGUCUACAGGAAGGUACCUGGCAACGUGCCGGAAAUUUCUCGAAAGUAGGUGUUACCGUUUAUGCGAUCAGGAAAAACAAGGUAAUCAUAUACGAGAUUAAAUCCUUGACCUAAAGUAAUAUUUUCUUAUUUUUCAAGGAAAUAUUUUCUUAUUUUUUCGAGGAGAUAUUUUCUUAUUUUUCCGAGGAAAUAUUUUCUCAUUUUUUAUUCCUUUUACAUAUUAACAUAUUACAUACUUCUACAUGUUCAAUAAUAGCAUAGGAAAGAUGUAUUUUUAUGUUUCUUUGUGUGUCAGUUUUCAUUUUAGUUCCCAAUUCAUAAUUAUGUUUUAUAAAUACUUAAGUGCGUGUUUAAUUUAAGUUACGUCUUACUUAUUUAAUUUGUAAUUUUUUAAUUAUCGUGUAAUGAUUUACGUUCACUUAUUGACGUAUUUAAUAUUAGAAAAAGAUUGCUCGGUUAAAUUUUUUUUUUAACUAUUCAUUUGCAGUAUGUAGCUUGGAAUAUCUUCAUUAAAAGCUACCGUACAAAAAUUUUUCAUUGACAAGAUACAUUUUCAUGUCGAACCAAAGCAAUGAAAUUCACAUGUGAGAACUAUUUUAGGCUAUUAUCAUAAUAAUUAAUACAAAUUUAGUAGCAGUUCCUGCAACUUUCUUAAUUUCCGCAAAAUUGUUUUCAUACGAACUUCGUUACAAUAAUUAUAAUUUUUCGUAACGCUGCGCUGGCGGAAUACGAAAAGCGCUUCUAAAAGUCAAACAGACUAUCUAACUCUCAUGCCGACUGGAAUUAAUAUUUAACGAGUUCUGGCGCCGCUGUCGUGUUUGUCAUACUUUCUACACAGCUUCAUUUACUGGAAUAUUUGCGUUAAUAAGCUCUGCAACUGUUUUUUUUUUUUUUCGUUCCUUCUUAUGACGACCGUACGUGUCAAAUUUUUAGCUUCAUACGAGUAAUCUCGUAUAAUUUUCGUUGAUAUAAAAUUGUGUCUUAUAUCAGGGAUUUUAAUUUUAUUAUAUGACAUAAUAAUGACACAGAAUUUGAGAUGUAGUGAUUAAUUUUAACGCAUUUUUUUAUACAAAUGUUACGUAUAAUUAUGUGUUUACAAUUUAUAGCAUAUAAUUUUAAAAUUUUGCCAAUUCAAUUUUAUAAUUUACUAUCUUAAUUUCAAUUCAACCUUAGAAUCUAAAUAGAGUAAUCUUGUUCACCGAUUAAAAAAUAUAACGGUUACUCUAUUUUAUUUAUGUUAUAUAUUCUUUUUUAUUCGACGUGCAUUCUAUGCAUUUUUACACCUUUCAAUUUUGCAUAAAUGCAUGAAAGUCCUACUCGUCAAUUUCAUCUUUGCACACAAAUUGUUCAUAUUGAUCACGUAGGGCUGUCUUUCUCAUACUUCAUCCUGUCAUAAAACUAUUCUACCUUCAUUAUUAUAUUAUUAUGCUACACUUGAUUAAGUUUUAGUACGUUUCAAAGAAUAUUAAUUGAAUUUCUGCCUGGAGAUAGAUAGAUAGAUAGAGAGCGCGAGAAAGAGAGGACGGUCCUGAAAGCGAUCCUGUACGAUAAUGGAAAGUGUUGAUAUGCCAAUCAGGUCACAAGCCAUCCUUUCGGCUUCGAACGAGUCGAUAACAGCCAGGGUGCCCCUGCACCGAUACACCGAUGCUUCUCUACUUUACUCGAUCUCCGUGUAAUUAAUGUCGUCGCUUGUCGAGGCUAAUGAUGUUGAACACGUGUCUGACGAGAGUGAAUGUCGAUCGAUUCGUUACGCGUCUCUCAAUACAUAAUAAGCACACCCCGGCACGAAGAUUGUUGUGUUGCGUUCGUUUAGACUGCAAUUAUGAUCUAUGAACGUGCCCGGAUAAUUUUAUUCUAAUUAUUUGCUUGACGAUAGGGUACCUCUGUUAUUGAAACGUUUUCAAAUUUCCACGAUAAUAAUUAAUUUAAUCUUUGACUUUUAAGGGAACAAGGCCUCGUUAUUUUUCGCAUUAUCCGAUCAGCAGUGAAUUUAUUAGCAGAUUUUGGAGUAUGAUUUUUCUGUCCAAUGGUAUGUUCAAGACUACUAUUCGUAUCGUACAUUAAUUUUUUACUGAAUGUAUAUUUGCAACGAGUAUCUUGUAGCUUCUAUAUAGAUUUUCAAAUUGGUUUCAAGUUUGAUUAUUAUAAUCACGAUAAGUAUGUCUUAUUACAGUGCUAAAAUUUCUAAAAGCUUCGUACGAUACACACAACAUAUUCAUAGAAAUUUUCCGUGAUAAGUGUGUUCGAAUAUUUUUCUCAGUCGCUGUAUAUAUUUUUCCUAAAUAUAGCUGAUAUAACCGAGGCUAUAUUUUUCUCAUUUGACUCGGUCACUCUUUUUCAAAACAUCUACUCAAUAAGUACCUAUACACGCGACAACAACGCGUUAGCACAAAUGUACACUAUUACACACAUAAUCAUUGAUGCACCCAGUGCUGGCCUAUCACGUACUCGACUAAUGUCCUUUGGCGUGACCCAGAGUUACGUACGUCGAAGCUAAUGAAGGCACGUUCAGGCGUUUGUGGCUUGUGCAUCGGCGACCUUAUAUACGUUGCAGGCUCGUCGUGGCCACGUUUAAUUCGUCCAAUCACGUUAGCCACACGAGAAGCGACUAAAUUGUCGUGCAGGUUGAAUCAUCGUUCGAACUGUAUUGUAGUUGCCCUUCGUCAUCGGCAUUCAUCGGCCGUGAAUGUGUCACUCAGCGUGAAACCGCAGUGAUCAACUUUUAUUAGAAUUAAUCUGGUUAAUUCUUUUUGCUGACUUCAUUAGCUUCAAAGUCAUUCGAAGCAGUCGCUGAACAAAGGCGGGGACGGAAAUGCCCAGUCGUAAGGUCGAUUAUACUCGACCCUACACUUCCAAAGGAGAAGACAACGUUGAUGCGGCAACGAUAGCAAUGUGGAAAUCUAAUUGAAGUGGGCGUAGACCGUAAUAGCUCGGCUAUACGAGGGACAGCCACGCGAGCUCCUCGUUUAAGACGCAUCGUCCGCCUGCUAACAUUCCUAAGAAGAUUUGAAUCGGGGGCAAUUCUGCGACAAUGUAGAAUCCAUUCGCCAUACACAUUCUGCCAUUCUUCCUCGCGGAAAUAUACAACGUUGAUAAGGAUAACUGCUUUCCUCGUCGAUGUCUGAUGAGACUGCUCUCUUGAGAUCAAGAAAUCGAAUCGGUGCGAGGAAGACGGCCGGUGUGCGGAUUUAAUAAAGGAGACAUGGCUGCAGACGAAAUCGGCACGAACGACGGAUAGCGAACGGAAAAAGCGGAAGUCGUAAAUUGUCCCGGAAAAGGAUCGUGCCGUAAAACUCGACGGAGGAGGAUUUUAUCGAUUCAAUAUCUCUCUUUUCUACGAUUGGACUAGCAAGCCAGCACGCUGCAAACGCCGUUACAAAGGCAGACGCGAUUUCGCAAAGGAUAUUCGGUAUGUGCUGCCUAUGCCUUUAC